GUAAACGGCGGCCGUAACUAUAACGGUCCUAAGGUAGCGAAAUUCCUUGUCAGGUAAGUUCUGACCCGCAUGAAAGGCGUAAUGAUUUGGGCACUGUCUCAACAGCCCGCCCGGCGAAAUUGUAGUACCGGUGAAGAUGCCGGUUACCCGCGACAAGACGGAAAGACCCCAUGGAGCUUUACUGUAGCCUAAUAUUGGGUUUCGAUGUUGCAUGCACAGGAUAGAUGGGACACUAGGAAACAAUCGCUUUGGCGGUUGCGGAGUGGCCGUUGGGAUACCAUCCUUGCGAUAUUGGAAUUCUAACCUGCGGCUCUGAAUCGAGUCGGGGGACAUUGUUAGGUGGGCAGUUUGACUGGGGCGGUCGCCUCCUAAAAAGUAACGGAGGCGUUCAAAGGUUCGCUCAGCUUGAACGGAAAUCAAGCAAAAGAGUGCAAACGCAGAAGCGAGCCUAACUGCGAGACUGACGGGUCGAGCAGUAACGAAAGUUGGAGUUAGUGAUCCGGUGGUAUGUGAGUGGAAAUGCCAUCGCUCAACGGAUAAAAGUUACCCUGGGGAUAACAGGCUGAUCUCCCCCAAGAGUCCACAUCGACGGGGAGGUUUGGCACCUCGAUGUCGGCUCAUCGCAUCCUGGGGCUGAAGUAGGUCCCAAGGGUUGGGCUGUUCGCCCAUUAAAGCGGUACGCGAGCUGGGUUCAGAACGUCGUGAGACAGUUCGGUCCCUAUCUGUCGUGGGCGCAGGAUAUUUGAUGGGAGCUGUCCCUAGUACGAGAGGACCGGGACGGACGUACCUCUGGCGCACCAGUUGUUCCGCCAGGAGCAUAGCUGGGCAACUACGUACGGAUCGGAUAAACGCUGAAAGCAUCUAAGCGUGAAGCCGACCCAAAGAUAAGAUAUCCCAUUGUUUUAAACAAGUAAGACCCCUUGAAGACUACAAGGUUGAUAGGCACGAUGUGUAAGUGGAGCGAUCCAUUCAGCAAGCGUGUACUAAUAGGUCGAGGGCUUGACCAC
This 1007-nucleotide ribosomal RNA is filed under the name human gut metagenome. RNAcentral describes it as "bacterial LSU rRNA". It matches the Rfam family "Bacterial large subunit ribosomal RNA", at positions 1923 to 2925 of the family's 2925-position model. The record is from RNAcentral.